Molecule: non-coding RNA, 113 nt
Organism: Acanthosepion pharaonis
Lineage: Eukaryota; Metazoa; Mollusca; Cephalopoda; Sepiida; Sepiidae
Source: the annotation of a GenBank genome assembly
UUACAGCCAUAUCAUGUUGAAACACCAGCUCCCAUACCAUCACUGAAAUUAAGCAAUAUAAAGCCUGAUCAAUACCGAGAUGGGUGACCACUUGGGAAUACCAGGUGCUGUAA